GGGGGAGGGAUAAAAUGCAGUCGACGGACUCAUAUUGAACCUAGUGAUUUAUGAGUUAGUGGCGGACGGGUGAGUAACGCGUGGAUAACCUGCCGUAUACCGGGGGAUAACACUUAGAAAUAGGUGCUAAUACCGCAUAAGCGCACGGCUCCGCAUGGGGCAGUGUGAAAAACUCCGGUGGUAUACGAUGGAUCCGCGUCUGAUUAGCUAGUUGGCGGGGUAACGGCUCACCAAGGCAGCGAUCAGUAGCCGGCCUGAGAGGGUGGACGGCCACAUUGGGACUGAGACACGGCCCAAACUCCUACGGGAGGCAGCAGUGGGGAAUAUUGCACAAUGGGGGAAACCCUGAUGCAGCGACGCCGCGUGAGUGAAGAAGGGUUUCGGCUCGUAAAGCUCUGUUGGUAGUGAAGAAAGAUAGAGGUAGUAACUGGCCUUUAUUUGACGGUAAUUACUUAGAAAGUCACGGCUAACUACGUGCCAGCAGCCGCGGUAAUACGUAGGUGGCAAGCGUUGUCCGGAUUUAUUGGGCGUAAAGCGAGUGCAGGCGGUUCAAUAAGUCUGAUGUGAAAGCCUUCGGCUCAACCGGAGAAUUGCAUCAGAAACUGUUGAACUUGAGUGCAGAAGAGGAGAGUGGAACUCCAUGUGUAGCGGUGGAAUGCGUAGAUAUAUGGAAGAACACCAGUGGCGAAGGCGGCUCUCUGGUCUGCAACUGACGCUGAGGCUCGAAAGCAUGGGUAGCGAACAGGAUUAGAUACCCUGGUAGUCCAUGCCGUAUACGAUGAGUGCUAAGUGUUGGGAGGUUUCCGCCUCUCAGUGCUGCAGCUAACGCAUUAAGCACUCCGCCUGGGGA
RNAcentral lists this ribosomal RNA (850 nucleotides) under uncultured bacterium. RNAcentral's name for it is "bacterial SSU rRNA". It matches the Rfam family "Bacterial small subunit ribosomal RNA", at positions 38 to 879 of the family's 1533-position model. The record is from RNAcentral.